GAGGGUGAGGCCUGCCCAAUGGUUGUAUCUAAAAGCGGUUGAUAAAAGUCGACCGUGUAAGGACAAUUGAAUGGCCGCGGUAACACUGACCGUGAUAAUGUAGCGUAAUCAAUAGCCAAUUAAUUGUUGGCCAGUAUGAAUGGCGCCACGAAGGCCCCACUGUCUUAAGGAAAUUCCCAGUGAAAUUGAAUUCGUAGUGAAGAUGCUACGUCCAAUUUGUUAGACGAAAAGACCCCGUUGAGCUUUACUGGGGCACUUACACGGCCCCGGCCUUCAAAACUGGGUUGAUAAGCCAAGGCUUACCAUACCUAGGGACCGGCCGAAUUUAAAUGGGCGGCUUAGACUAUGUGGCAGCCCCCCCCGUCGGGGCAGAUGAAACCCCACUCCCCCAUGUCAAAGGGGCUAACCCCCCCCCUUGGGGGGGACAGUGUAAGUAGGACAGUUUGGUUGGGGCGACCGCCUUUUAGAGAGUAACGAAGGUGCGCUUAAGGUGCGUAAUUAAUGACUGAAGCCUGACUGCGAGGGGGACACCCCGAGCAGACACCCCCAAGCCCGCCCUCGCCUUCGUACCAACGGAGGGAGGGCGGCGGUGGGG
Molecule: ribosomal RNA, 595 nt
Filed under: Parazoanthus swiftii
Lineage: Eukaryota; Metazoa; Cnidaria; Anthozoa; Zoantharia; Parazoanthidae
Description: partial 16S ribosomal RNA
Rfam family: Bacterial large subunit ribosomal RNA
Source: RNAcentral